GGAAGUGAAUUGUUGCUUCUAAAGUUGGGAAAACACAAAAAUAUUUGCUUGUACUACUUAGAAUUACAUGUUGUAUAUGACAAGAAUUUUUCUUUUAACUCUCACUUCUUCUUCUACCCUUUUUUGUGGAUGAACAGUCAAAUGAAGGUGUAGUGGGGUGUCCGGUUUAGAGAAAAAGGCUUGUUUUAUUUUGUUGCCUGACCUUUUUGCUUGGCUUGCUGCAGCGAGGACCUUAUCCACGGAACUUCUUCUCUCCUCUGCUAUGGGGAUAUUCUCUUGAUUCUGCAUCAUUUAUAGGCAUUAUUGAGUACUAACUGGAUGUGGAAUUAAAUAGCUUACUAAAACCAAAGAAAGCGUCACUAUGAAAGUUGCUGCUGUGAUACUGCAAUCAGUUUUUUAAUACAUAAAGGGAAGCUUCAAGAGGAGAAUGCAGAGGUCAUGCACACAUCAAUAUGCAUCUGCAACAAGCUAUGGUAACUGAGGUUCUCCCCAGUCAGGUGUACUUUCUGUUGUGGCUGUGAAGUUGCCAAAACCAGUUCCCAAGCAUUGCAGGAGCCCAUCAUAUGCAAGUACAAUUUGUAUACCUAGUUUCCAUUGUUAUUCGAAGAUCUUGUUGAUAUCCUGUUUUGUGUACCAAUCAUUAAAGAGGCAUUCACCCGUCUUAAUACUAUGAAACAGGUGCUAGUUAUCAAUAUUUUAUAUCAUUUUCUCAAUGUGGUGUUGGGUCUUCUCUAAUGGUUGUGAUCGUUUACAACCGUAUUGUAAGUUGUUGGUUCAAGUCAUAGCUUACACCAUCAGUAUGAACUGUACAGACAAAUUUAAAGCAGCUGCAAACUGCUAUGUCUAGUAGGGUUAUUUUAUACUGCCA
Long non-coding RNA from Papaver somniferum (opium poppy), 868 nucleotides. RefSeq lists it as uncharacterized. The record is from RefSeq and is a predicted model, not a curated record. Lineage: Eukaryota; Viridiplantae; Streptophyta; Magnoliopsida; Ranunculales; Papaveraceae. The transcript has 3 exons.